This is a long non-coding RNA of Homo sapiens (human), 796 nucleotides long. Ensembl annotates it as long intergenic non-protein coding RNA 2020. NCBI's taxonomy places the organism in Eukaryota, Metazoa, Chordata, Mammalia, Primates, Hominidae. The record is from Ensembl.
ACUGUCUUCCGCCUCCCCUCCUGUCCCACUGGAAGGUCUUCAGGGGCAAUAACAAGCGUGGAGCUUCAUUUCCUCUGAUAACAAUGCCUUCUUCUCGAAUCCUUCCUGGAGGACCUGUCUGAGGAUGUUUUCCAGCUAGCUUUUUUUUCAUAAGUAGAAAGAGUACACUAAAAUAACAGCAAAAAGUAUAGUAGAUACAUAAACCAGUACCAUAGUCAUUUAUUAUCAAGUAUUAUGUACUAUACAUAACUGGAUGUGCUAUACUUUUAUUAUACAACUGGCAGAGCAGUCAAUUUGUUUACCCCAGCAUAACCACAUACAUGUUCUGCUUGAAUUCUUGCCCUGGCUCUUGGUGAAGGAUCGGCCUGCUGGAUCUGAGUCAUCCACCUAUAAGAGGGACAACACCACACAUUGGUCGCUGCUCUCAAGCCCCUGGAAUACCACCCCACUUGGCUUCUCCUGGUAACAGUGGCUGCCUUUGCUUGCCUGUCUCCAACUCCUCCCAAGAGCAUUGCUGACUGUGAGCUGUACCUUUGAAUCUGCAGGGGCCCUUCCCAUCUGUCUAAUAUUUGCUAUCAGUGAAACAGAAAAACCCUUGGGACACUGUCAGGGAGCAUUCUGGCCCGCAAAAUGCCUACCAACCACCAUGCCGUUCUCAUUCUUGCCAUUAGCAACCUUCUCUUUCUCUACAUCAUCAGCGUCCUAUGUGCACUCAUUCUAGAGGGCCAAUAAUUCUCACAGAUUACCAGUGUAGACUUAAAUUAUUUUUAUUAUAAUAUCACAGUACAAGUAAAAA